Molecule: ribosomal RNA, 672 nt
Filed under: alpha proteobacterium IMCC14803
Lineage: Bacteria; Pseudomonadati; Pseudomonadota; Alphaproteobacteria
Description: bacterial SSU rRNA
Rfam family: Bacterial small subunit ribosomal RNA
Source: RNAcentral
ACGAACGGCUGCGGCAGGCCUAACACAUGCAAGUCGAGCGCGCCUUCGGGUGAGCGGCGGACGGGUUAGUAACGCGUGGGAACGUACCCUUCUCUACGGAAUAGCCUUUGGAAACGAAGAGUAAUACCGUAUACGCCCUUUGGGGGAAAGAUUUAUCGGAGAAGGAUCGGCCCGCGUUAGAUUAGAUAGUUGGUGGGGUAACGGCCUACCAAGUCUACGAUCUAUAGCUGGUUUUAGAGGAUGAUCAGCAACACUGGGACUGAGACACGGCCCAGACUCCUACGGGAGGCAGCAGUGGGGAAUCUUAGACAAUGGGCGCAAGCCUGAUCUAGCCAUGCCGCGUGAGUGAUGAAGGCCUUAGGGUCGUAAAGCUCUUUCGCCUGUGAUGAUAAUGACAGUAGCAGGUAAAGAAACCCCGGCUAACUCCGUGCCAGCAGCCGCGGUAAUACGGAGGGGGUUAGCGUUGUUCGGAAUUACUGGGCGUAAAGCGCACGUAGGCGGAUUGGAAAGUUGGGGGUGAAAUCCCGGGGCUCAACCCCGGAACUGCCUCCAAAACUAUCAGUCUAGAGUUCGAGAGAGGUGAGUGGAAUUCCAAGUGUAGAGGUGAAAUUCGUAGAUAUUUGGAGGAACACCAGUGGCGAAGGCGGCUCACUGGCUCGAUACUGACGCUGA